ACGAACGCUGGCGGCGUGCCUAAUACCUGCAAGUCGAACGCUUCUUUCCUCCCGAGUGCUUGCACUCAAUUGGAAAGAGGAGUGGCGGACGGGUGAGUAACACGUGGGUAACCUACCCAUCAGAGGGGGAUAACACUUGGAAACAGGUGCUAAUACCGCAUAACAGUUUAUGCCGCAUGGCAUAAGAGUGAAAGGCGCUUUCGGGUGUCGUUGAUGGAUGGACCCGCGGUGCAUUAGCUAGUUGGUGAGGUAACGGCUCACCAAGGCCACGAUGCAUAGCCGACCUGAGAGGGUGAUCGGCCACACUGGGACUGAGACACGGCCCAGACUCCUACGGGAGGCAGCAGUAGGGAAUCUUCGGCAAUGGACGAAAGUCUGACCGAGCAACGCCGCGUGAGUGAAGAAGGUUUUCGGAUCGGAAAACUCUGUUGUUAGAGAAGAACAAGGACGUUAGUAACUGAACGUCCCCUGACGGUAUCUAACCAGAAAGCCACGGCUAACUACG
Molecule: ribosomal RNA, 505 nt
Filed under: uncultured bacterium
Lineage: Bacteria
Description: partial 16S ribosomal RNA
Rfam family: Bacterial small subunit ribosomal RNA
Source: RNAcentral